CGCAUAUAAAAUAAUUUAAAUUUAUAUGAAAUGAUCAACCAAUUUUUUCAAUUUAAAAAAAUAAAUACCUAAUACCUAGAUUGGUUAACCUUAUAAUAACCCUAAUCUCUUACUUUCUAUUUGAAUUUUUUCUAAAGAAAAUUGAAAGUAAAGAUUGUCCAAAAAAUUCCACCGUAAGACUUCAAUUACAUAGUAAAAUGGGUGCUUUUAGUUCUCAUUUUAAAACUUUUCGUCACCCAAAACUUACGGCACGUUUGGUUCACUGGAAUGGAAUAUGAUUGUAAGGGAAUAAAGUUGUAAUCAAUAAUUCAAUUGAUUAGUUGAAUAGAAUAGAAUAGAACUGUAAUAGUAUUCUUGUGUUUGGUUGAAUGAAAUAGAUUUAUAAUAAUAUAAGGAAAAAAGCUAAAAUGACCAAAGUACCGUUAGCAGAAUUUUUU
This 437-nucleotide long non-coding RNA is filed under the name Gossypium barbadense (sea-island cotton). RNAcentral describes it as "long non-coding RNA (GBAR_LNC023224)". The record is from RNAcentral. Lineage: Eukaryota; Viridiplantae; Streptophyta; Magnoliopsida; Malvales; Malvaceae.